UACGGGGGGGGUAAGCGUUGUUCGGAAUUACUGGGCGUAAAGGGCACGUAGGCGGCCAACUAAGUCGGACGUGAAAUCCCUCAGCUUAACUGGGGAACUGCGUCCGAUACUGGAUGGCUUGGAUUUGGGAGAGGGAUGCGGAAUUCCAGGUGUAGCGGUGAAAUGCGUAGAUAUCUGGAGGAACACCGGUGGCGAAGGCGGCAUCCUGGACCAAUAUUGACGCUGAGGAGCGAAAGCCAGGGGAGCAAACGGG
This 253-nucleotide ribosomal RNA is filed under the name uncultured bacterium. Its description in RNAcentral is "partial 16S ribosomal RNA". It matches the Rfam family "Bacterial small subunit ribosomal RNA", at positions 524 to 776 of the family's 1533-position model. The record is from RNAcentral.